Long non-coding RNA from Homo sapiens (human), 1609 nucleotides. Ensembl annotates it as long intergenic non-protein coding RNA 616. Lineage: Eukaryota; Metazoa; Chordata; Mammalia; Primates; Hominidae. The record is from Ensembl.
UUUGAAUGUGUGUUGCUCCUUGUGGCAGGUAUACUGUUCCAAUGCCCUGGGAUCUCUGUAGUGGUCGGUACUGUAUUGAUUAUAAAUGGUGAAGUCCUAGUAUCUUGCUAGAGUGAGCUGGCCAGGAUGGUGGAGCUCUACCACCAUUUCACAGGUUAUAGACAGGGGCCACCAGGUUUCAGGAAAGCAGCAAUGACCCCUCAGUAAUAGUUGGAAAGUGUGAUAUGACACUGAGCUUCACUGUGUUGGUGAAGAAGAGGUGAGGAAAAUAAAAGCUGCAGUUUGCCUCCACCUCUGAAGAAGCACAAUACACCUUUCUGGGUUACCAAUGGGAUACUUCCCAACAGCUUUGUCAUCACAUACAAUAUUCUCAAACAAGAUCUUAAUGGCAUCUACUUUCUCCAGGAACACAGCCCCUGACCUGUGUGUGUUUGCGUAGAGAAGGCAUGCUAUGUACCCCCUAGGAUAUCAAGAUUCCUGUAGCAGAUUGAGCUCUGGCAGUUGAUCUCAGUGGCUUGAUAGAGUGUCAUUAUAAAAACGCACCUGGAAGAUUCUGUGGAAAAGACAACCUCAGAAGACCAAGGAAUCUGCCCACCACUCAAGCCUGGGAAAGCUGGCAGAGGAUGCACGUGUUUUACUCACCUGAGUGUUUACAAUGCUCGUGAGGUGCCUCCCUGAUAGUAAUGAUAGCAUCUCACAGUUCAGUUUAAGGAAGCAAUACAGAGACAUGCAAAUCAUCCCUAAGACAUGAGUACUCCAUGUGAGGGUGUUGUGAGGGCCUAAGAAGAAAGACAAUCAUUUGGGACAACGUUCUGAGAAGGGAGAUGGUUGCUGCCCUCGUGGAUUUAACAGACUUGGUUAUGUGGCUAGUUUUCUUUUUCUUCUUCCAUACCUGAACUGUGGUACUCAAGAGAAUCAUCUGAAGCUUGUGUUGGACAGGACAGGCAAUAACUUCAAACUGAAUAAUGAGGCCCAAGAUGGACAGUCCCUCGUUGAGGGUCAGAGCCAGCACCCUUGUAGACUGUGACUACUAGGCCAACUCCUAGAGCUAGAGUUCCAUAUGGACAAGGACAAGCUCUAGCUAGAUCAGAGCAAUUUCAUCACAAAGCAAGUUUUAUUUUCAAUCAUCGCUGCAGACCACAAAGGUCAGGCUAAAUAUCGACAGAUCUCUAUUGUGGGAAAAUUUGGACUUUUGGCUUAUUAUCAGUACUCAACCUUGAUAGGCAGCACCAGAUUAACUGCUAAAGAUUCUAUGCAUCUUUAUCUCAUUAGCCUUUUACAUUUUAUCCUGUUUCUUAGCCUCGGCUGGGGGACGGGUACAGUCAACUCCCACUGGAGCAACAACAUAAAAGGUGGGAAGGAAAAUGUUUAUGUUGACACCAGGGUAGUGAAAGCUAUCCAAGCUAUGGGGAAUUUAAUGCUGAGGAAAGGCAAGAUCAGGGUGGAGCAUCCGGCUGGGGUAGCUGCCUUUCACUGGACCCCUACCAGCCCAGUUUGGGACAUGCAAGGGGAACAGCACAUAGAUAAAGCUUUCUCAAGGUUUAUGAAAGAACAGACGGCAGCACAGCUAACCUCCAGUGCAAAUAAAAAUCAUACAUUUAAGGAAACU